RNAcentral lists this long non-coding RNA (1068 nucleotides) under Panax ginseng (ginseng). RNAcentral's name for it is "long non-coding RNA (PGIN_LNC012914)". The record is from RNAcentral. Lineage: Eukaryota; Viridiplantae; Streptophyta; Magnoliopsida; Apiales; Araliaceae.
UAGAGUUUACAUAACAUUAGUCUAGCUGAAUCGAAUAGCGUAAACUCAUAUCAAUAAUUCAAUUCAAUCGAAUUAUUUAGGUGUAGCCAAACCCCGUUGGACAAUUAAAAUUUUUGAAAAUAUUUUUGAGAAUGACGUCAUGAUGCCGUACUGUAUUAACAGUCCAUUUAAGGAUGCCGUCACCGAGUGACUUUGUCAUAACACAUCAUACAAUAGUGGAACAAUGAUUUUCAGAUCGAAUUCGCACUAAGUAUUCCUGCAUUUACAACUCUAUCAACUUUUUAUGAUCUCUGCACCAGGUUACAUGGUACAUGAGUGAUAAAGAAAAUAUAUUUUGAUAUUUUAAAUCAUUGCGUCUAGCUGAAAUAAGUAGCAUAGACUAUACUUUAAACCGUUUCAAAAAUGAUUAUGAGUCUACAUAUUUUUUUUUCCAAAAGCACAUAGUGCGUAUUUAGCUUGAUGUCAAAAUUCCGAAGUCUAGAAUAGCUAGUAGUUUUGGAAAACUUAUGUCUUCACUAAUAAUCCUUUUCUUAACAAUCUAUCUAUUCCUAUAAUCUUUAAUACUCCAUUUACACACAACUAUACCCUGUUCGUCAAACCACACUUAUGAGUUCAUUUACUUGCCACAAUCAUAUGAGUUUAAGAACUUGUCCUAGUCAGACCUUUGGCGUCCAUUAGCUGAGGGGUUCAUAAACAUUUCAUAUAACUAUGAGUCAAGAAUGUCACAUAAGUAUGAGUCUUAAGAAUUCGUACUUAACCUUAUAUUCUCUACCUAUAACCUAUCUAUAUGUUCUACACAUGAGAAAGGAAUCACCCUCUUAACAUGUGUCGACGUCGGGAUUUUUGGGUGUCCCUUUCCGUUACUUGUUCUUUGGUGUUCUCAUUUUAGGUGAGAUUUGUUUGAAAAAAUAAGCGAAAAAGGUCCGACAUGUAUAAUGUCGACGAUGGGACUGGUAAGAGUCGCCAGUUGGUUUUUUAAAUGGUUGUACCAACACAACCGAGAAAAGGUUUGCACAUUGACCUAGUGAUGUGACACUGAUAUACGGGUCGGCGAAACCGAGAUUCAUU